ACGCUGAUAAACUCGAUUAAUUUGAGUUGUCCUAACUUAGAAAAACUAAGUAAGCUGGAAGUUUUGCUUCUCUGGGCGGAAGGAUGAAAGAUGUGUUUUGAAAAUGCCACGUGACUACCGUCCUCCUCCCUCACGGAUCAGUCCGCAUGUUCACGGUGCCAGCAUUUGUUAUGGAAUAUAUUGAGCAAACCCGGAGAAGCGUCAGCUCAAGAGACUAUUGUUGUCAUUACUGUGGAUCUUUACUGACUUGGCUCGGACCAGCACUCCUGUUGUUGGACAGAAAGACAUCAACUCAGUGACUUGAGAUAUGACUGCACUAUGCUGUUGCUGUGACUCCAGUUAAUUCUACAAGACAUGCUGUGUAAGUAAACAAACAACAACAGUUUGGUCUGCAUUUCUUCAAA
Molecule: long non-coding RNA, 404 nt
Organism: Pelmatolapia mariae (spotted tilapia)
Lineage: Eukaryota; Metazoa; Chordata; Actinopteri; Cichliformes; Cichlidae
Exons: 3
Source: RefSeq, a predicted model, not a curated record